This 1565-nucleotide small RNA is filed under the name Rattus norvegicus (Norway rat). Its description in RNAcentral is "uncharacterized LOC103691660". The record is from RNAcentral. Lineage: Eukaryota; Metazoa; Chordata; Mammalia; Rodentia; Muridae.
UCCCCAACCCCUCCUCUAGGCUCUCUUGCUGGGUCUCCUUCAAGUGUGUCCUCAGCUUGACACUGGAUGCUUUUUACAACAGCCGUGGUCUCUGAGCUGGGGACCAACUCAUGGAUAUUGUGUCAGCCUUUGUGUACAGGAAAGACUACUGCUCUGUUAAGGAAUUAGUCAUGUCCAGGGACUCUCGGGAUGACACCUCUCUGGCCAAGCCGGCUGAUUCCUGCCAUUGCUCCAGUCACAGGUAGAUGGCACUAUUCUACCACACCAGAUGCCUGGCUUUGCCUGGCUGGCCAGGCUCACCAAGCGAUCAGCCCUAUGACUAUGAGGAAGCAGAGGGCCACACCCGGUUCCAUGAUGCUGCAAGCUGUGGACUGUCACUGAGGCUGUGGUCACGGCUCAUUUGAAGACCCUCACCAGGAGGAUGGUUGGAUCCAGAAGCCAGAAGGGGGCAGAGAGGAGGGCAGGAUGGUGGAUUGUCCAGGCUGCAACCAACAAACAAUGUGUACCAAAAAGAUGCAGAAAGUCGGAUAGGAUUUCCAGCCUGGCCUGAACUCCCCUGAGCGGCAUCCCGCAGAGCACAUCUUCCUCUGGACCUUGGAGACUCCCCAAACCAUAUCUCUACCCUGUCUCUAUAAUGGUCCCCAUCCUACAGUAACCAGCAGUUUCUGGGUGGUUCACAAAAAAAGUCUCUCCAGGUCUUUAAGGAAACCCUAACUCUUCCCUGGGCUGAGGGGUGAGGGUGGGGCAGAGUCCCUGCAUAGCUAAGGUGUCACCUGUGGGUGCUGGGUUAGCCCAGCUCCAGCCUCAGGGAAGGAGGGAGGAGAUUCUUCCCUGAGAGUCUCUGGGCCCCACAAUCGCUGAGUAAAGGUUUGAUAUAUUGAGCAAGUGUCAGCAGAGACAGGCCAAAGAGCCCCAGGCAGGACUGGGGCUGUUCCCUAGGACCCAUGCAGAGCCGAUAACCAUGACCAAGGGGAAAAUCAAUCUGCUGAAAUGUGGCUUCUCGGAGACUGUCUGGCAGGAGGGAUGGUGAAACGCCGUGGCCCAAACCAACACCCAGACCUAUUUAAAGCUUUAAUGUUACAAAAGGUCUAGGGGGCGAUGAGGAAAGGACGAAUAAAUAAUUCAGAAAGCGGAAGGAGAGACAUUGCCAGUACCGACAGACCACAGACCGAGGGUGUCUGUUGUCCCCACUGGGUAUGCCAGUCUCUUCAGCCCUCAAGCUUCUGAGGAUUCAUCUCUCUCUUCUCAUCUCACCAUUGGAGCACUAGAAUUUCAGAAUCACACAACUGCAUCCAGUUUUUUAACCUGGGUAUUGGGGAUUUGAACUUGGACCAUCACGUUUGCACAGCAAGUAUACUAUCCACUGAGCCAAGACCUGGCUAACUUUAUACAGCUGUGUGAUCCUGGGAAAGUUUUAUACCCUCUCUGGUCCUUCAAAGGCUUCACUUUUCCUUAAGACAUAGAAGUGGGCAUCACUAGCUGGAUUGAGUUGGGUACAAUGGCACAUUCCCAUAAUGCCAGCUCUUGGAAGGUAGAGGCCAGAGGAUCAGGUGUUUAAAGUCAUC